This 69-nucleotide microRNA precursor is filed under the name Myotis lucifugus (little brown bat). Its description in RNAcentral is "miRNA (ENSMLUG00000020444.2)". The record is from RNAcentral. Lineage: Eukaryota; Metazoa; Chordata; Mammalia; Chiroptera; Vespertilionidae.
UAUGUAUGUGUGUGUGUGUGUGUGUGUGUGUGUAUACAUAUACACACACACACAUACAUACAUUAUUCA